RNAcentral lists this ribosomal RNA (429 nucleotides) under bacterium. RNAcentral describes it as "partial 16S ribosomal RNA". It matches the Rfam family "Bacterial small subunit ribosomal RNA", at positions 355 to 776 of the family's 1533-position model. The record is from RNAcentral.
UGGGGAAUUUUGGACAAUGGGGGCAACCCUGAUCCAGCAAUGCCGCGUGUAUGAAGAAGGCCUUCGGGUUGUAAAGCACUUUUGUCCGGAAAGAAAUCGCACUUACUAAUAUUAGGUGUGGAUGACGGUACCGGAAGAAUAAGGACCGGCUAACUACGUGCCAGCAGCCGCGGUAAUACGUAGGGUCCAAGCGUUAAUCGGAAUUACUGGGCGUAAAGCGUGCGCAGGCGGUUGUGCAAGACCGAUGUGAAAUCCCCGGGCUUAACCUGGGAAUUGCAUUGGUGACUGCACGGCUAGAGUGUGUCAGAGGGGGGUAGAAUUCCACGUGUAGCAGUGAAAUGCGUAGAGAUGUGGAGGAAUACCGAUGGCGAAGGCAGCCCCCUGGGAUAACACUGACGCUCAUGCACGAAAGCGUGGGGAGCAAACAGG